This 253-nucleotide ribosomal RNA is filed under the name uncultured bacterium. RNAcentral's name for it is "partial 16S ribosomal RNA". It matches the Rfam family "Bacterial small subunit ribosomal RNA", at positions 524 to 776 of the family's 1533-position model. The record is from RNAcentral.
UACGGAGGGUGCAAGCGUUAUCCGGAAUCACUGGGUUUAAAGGGUGCGUAGGUGGCUUGGUAAGUCAGAGGUGAAAGCCCGUCGCUUAACGAUGGAAUUGCCUUUGAUACUGCUAAGCUUGAAUAAGGUUGAGGUAGGCGGAAUGUGGCAUGUAGCGGUGAAAUGCAUAGAUAUGCCAUAGAACACCAAUUGCGUAGGCAGCUUACUGGACCUAUAUUGACGCUGAGGCACGAAAGCGUGGGGAUCAAACAGG